Molecule: ribosomal RNA, 508 nt
Filed under: Plasmodium falciparum (malaria parasite P. falciparum)
Lineage: Eukaryota; Apicomplexa; Aconoidasida; Haemosporida; Plasmodiidae
Description: SSU rRNA
Rfam family: Eukaryotic small subunit ribosomal RNA
Source: RNAcentral
UAAUACUUGCUUUAUUAUCCUUUGAUUUUUAUCUUUGGAUAAGUAUUUGUUAGGCCUUAUAAGAAAAAAGUUAUUAACUUAAGGAAUUAUAACAAAGAAGUAACACGUAAUAAAUUUAUUUUAUUUAGUGUGUAUCAAUCGAGUUUCUGACCUAUCAGCUUUUGAUGUUAGGGUAUUGGCCUAACAUGGCUAUGACGGGUAACGGGGAAUUAGAGUUCGAUUCCGGAGAGGGAGCCUGAGAAAUAGCUACCACAUCUAAGGAAGGCAGCAGGCGCGUAAAUUACCCAAUUCUAAAGAAGAGAGGUAGUGACAAGAAAUAACAAUGCAAGGCCAAUUUUUGGUUUUGUAAUUGGAAUGGUGGGAAUUUAAAACCUUCCCAGAGUAACAAUUGGAGGGCAAGUCUGGUGCCAGCAGCCGCGGUAAUUCCAGCUCCAAUAGCGUAUAUUAAAAUUGUUGCAGUUAAAACGCUCGUAGUUGAAUUUCAAAGAAUCGAUAUUUUAUUGUAACU